UACGUAGGGUGCAAGCGUUGCUCGGAAUUAUUGGGCGUAAAGCGCACGUAGGCGGCUCUCUAAGUCGGAUGUGAAAUCCUUUGGCUCAACCAAAGAAGUGCAUUCGAAACUGGAGAGCUUGAGUACUUAAGAGGAUCGCGGAAUUCCCGGUGUAGAGGUGAAAUGCGCAGAUAUCGGGAGGAACACCGGUGGCGAAGGCGGUUCUCUGGGCCUUACCUGACGCUGAGGAGCGAAAGCGUGGGGAGCGAACAGG
RNAcentral lists this ribosomal RNA (253 nucleotides) under uncultured bacterium. RNAcentral's name for it is "partial 16S ribosomal RNA". It matches the Rfam family "Bacterial small subunit ribosomal RNA", at positions 524 to 776 of the family's 1533-position model. The record is from RNAcentral.